GGGCGUGUAGCUCAGUGGGAGAGCACCUCGUUGACAUCGAGGGGGUCGCAAGUUCAAUCCUUGCCACGCCCACCA
Molecule: transfer RNA, 75 nt
Filed under: Alphaproteobacteria bacterium
Lineage: Bacteria; Pseudomonadati; Pseudomonadota; Alphaproteobacteria
Also listed under: 1 other name
Description: tRNA-Val
Rfam family: tRNA
About the family: Transfer RNA (tRNA) molecules are approximately 80 nucleotides in length. Their secondary structure includes four short double-helical elements and three loops (D, anti-codon, and T loops). Further hydrogen bonds mediate the characteristic L-shaped molecular structure. tRNAs have two regions of fundamental functional importance: the anti-codon, which is responsible for specific mRNA codon recognition, and the 3' end, to which the tRNAs corresponding amino acid is attached (by aminoacyl-tRNA synthetases). tRNAs cope with the degeneracy of the genetic code in two manners: having more than one tRNA (with a specific anti-codon) for a particular amino acid; and 'wobble' base-pairing, i.e. permitting non-standard base-pairing at the 3rd anti-codon position.
Source: RNAcentral